Molecule: small RNA, 118 nt
Filed under: Marmota monax (woodchuck)
Lineage: Eukaryota; Metazoa; Chordata; Mammalia; Rodentia; Sciuridae
Source: RNAcentral
GCUAGGUGUGGUGGCACACAUUUGUAGUCCCAGUUACUUGGGAGGCUGAGAUAGGAAGAUGGCUUGAGCCCAGAAGUUUGAGGUCAACCUGGGCAACAAAACAAGAUCCAGAUCUCAA